This is a long non-coding RNA of Oreochromis niloticus (Nile tilapia), 562 nucleotides long. RefSeq lists it as uncharacterized. The record is from RefSeq and is a predicted model, not a curated record. Lineage: Eukaryota; Metazoa; Chordata; Actinopteri; Cichliformes; Cichlidae. The transcript has 3 exons.
GUGAGGGCCCGGCGGGCGGUGCCUCACAGCCCUCCGCCUCUGGGAGUGGCCCAUUUCUACUAAGGAGGCAAGAGGUGGCCAGGAGUCUGUCAGCGAGUUCUGCAUGUCCUGGUGACCCUCCACCUGUUUCACAGUGUCACAGGGGAACUCGAGCCUAUCCAGCUAUCUUAGGGCGAGAAGCAGGGUACACCCUCCACAGGUCACCAGUCUGUUGCAGAGCUAACACAUAGACACAGAAAACCAUUCGCACCUGUGGGCGAUUUAGACUUUUCAACUAACCUCUUGCCACUAACUGCAGGUCGUUGGACUGUGGCAGGAAGCCGGAGUACAAGGAAAGAACCCACGCAAAAACAGGAAGAACAUGCAAACUCCACACAGAACCACGGUAGAGCUAAACUCAAGACCUUCUUCCUGUGCGGUAACGGUGCUAACCACUGUGCCGCCCGCAUAAGAGGAGAGCCACUGAGGGAACGCCUUCCGCCCUUCCGACGCCUCCACCGUGACUCCACUUCUGAGAGGAAUUGCCUACAGAUCAAGCAUGGAGUGUGCCUGAAUGGACAUA